GACGAACGCUGGCGGUAUGCUUAACACAUGCAAGUGGUGCGACGAACCAGAGCUUGCUCUGGGGCAAAGCCGCGAACGGGUGAGUAACACGUGGGUAAUCUACCCCGAUGACCGGGACAACCCGAGGAAACUCGGGCUAAUACCGGAUGUGGUGCGGAGACAUAAGUCUCUUCACUAAAGGUAGCUUCGGCUUCCGCAUUGGGAGGGGCCCGCGGCCCACUAGCUUGUUGGUGGGGUCAAGGCCUACCAAGGCAACGAUGGGUAGCUGGUCUGAGAGGACGAUCAGCCACACUGGGACUGAGACACGGCCCAGACUCCUACGGGAGGCAGCAGUGGGGAAUCUUGCGCAAUGCGCGAAAGCGUGACGCAGCAACACCGCGUGAGGGAAGAAGGCCUUAGGGUUGUAAACCUCUUUCAGAUGGGACGAAGGUUCUCCGGUGAAUAGCCGAGAGGAUUGACGGUACCGUCAGAAGAAGCUCCGGCUAACUACGUG
RNAcentral lists this ribosomal RNA (493 nucleotides) under uncultured bacterium. RNAcentral describes it as "partial 16S ribosomal RNA". It matches the Rfam family "Bacterial small subunit ribosomal RNA", at positions 28 to 507 of the family's 1533-position model. The record is from RNAcentral.